This 89-nucleotide transfer RNA is filed under the name Candidatus Omnitrophota bacterium. RNAcentral's name for it is "tRNA-Ser". It matches the Rfam family "tRNA". From Rfam's summary of the family: Transfer RNA (tRNA) molecules are approximately 80 nucleotides in length. Their secondary structure includes four short double-helical elements and three loops (D, anti-codon, and T loops). Lineage: Bacteria; Pseudomonadati; Candidatus Omnitrophota. The record is from RNAcentral.
GGAGAGAUGGCCGAGUGGUUGAAGGCGCACGCUUGGAAAGCGUGUGGCCAUCGAAAGGUGGCUCCAGGGUUCGAAUCCCUGUCUCUCCG